CUUCUGUCAAUCCCCAUUUGAUUAUAUGUGUUUUCCUCUCCAAUGUCCAUCCCUAUAAACUAAUCUUUGGCAAUGGAGGUGGUUCUAGGUUGCAAAGAUUUUGAAGAUUCUAGAGCAGCAAGAACAUGUUGGGAAAUGAGUAGAAGAAUACUCUGCUGUGGAUAUGGAUGGCAUUCGUGAAGAUUGGUCGACUUAUGCGGUUAACUCUAUUUUUAAGUUAUAUAUCGUAUUUUAGGUGUUGAUGAUGUAUUGACAAACAAUUCUUUUUUUGUUAACGUUAAAAUAUUUGUAGUAUACUUGGCAAAUGAUUAUGUAAUGGAUUGUUUUGGUAUAUAUAUAUGUAUGUGUGUGUGUGUAUUUGUUUUAUGAAAAAGAUUUAUUGUUUUUGU
RNAcentral lists this long non-coding RNA (389 nucleotides) under Helianthus annuus (common sunflower). Its description in RNAcentral is "hypothetical non coding rna". Lineage: Eukaryota; Viridiplantae; Streptophyta; Magnoliopsida; Asterales; Asteraceae. The record is from RNAcentral.